Molecule: long non-coding RNA, 293 nt
Organism: Ostrinia furnacalis (Asian corn borer)
Lineage: Eukaryota; Metazoa; Arthropoda; Insecta; Lepidoptera; Crambidae
Exons: 3
Source: RefSeq, a predicted model, not a curated record
GUUUUCUUGAAGAAUUAUUGAUGAAUAAUUUUCCACAAAAAAUUGGAUUUUAACUAGGAUAGGAAAAUGAGAACCUGCGGCUAUCCAUUUAAACCGAUUGUAGAAUUUAUGGAAAGAUAUGGCGAUCUGAGUAAGCCCACUGAAGGGCCCCAAGAAAGAGCCAACAAUAGUUAACGGUGGGUGGAACUAACGGACACGCGAACGUGAAAUGCUGAUGCCACCGGCGACACGAAAACUACUGAGAAAUUGAGAAAAGUGUGGAGUGACUUUAAACAGCAAGAAGAAGGCACCUC